AGAAAGUGGGAACACGGGAGGGCACAGCUUUCCCUAUUCUGAGUGCCUGGAUCUCCAGCAGCCGCGGGAGCGUGACAGGUGUGGGGAACCACGACAGCAGCAGGAUGGGGGCCCAUGCCUUCUCUACCUCGUGCCCUAGGCUUCCUCAGUGGAGGGGGUUAGUCUCAGCAGGGAGGCUGAAUUUUCCUAAGAGUACGAAUCAAGCGGCUCCUCUACCUGUAAAACGGGGAAUUCGCCUGGUGUGCAUUGGGAUCUAAAGGGAUCUCUGGGAUGUUGUGGCUGGAGAGAGACACAUGUAGAUGGUGUUGGACACUGGAUUUGUCCAUCAGAGCUCAAGGAGUCAGAAGUCACUGUGGAAGGACCAUGGGGGAUAAUUUAAGGAGCUCCAAGACCCCAUCUCACGGCCGGUGACAAGGAGCAACUCCCAGGGGGAAGCGAGGGGGCGGCGGAUUCCAGCGAACGUCGAGCGGGA
Long non-coding RNA from Lynx canadensis (Canada lynx), 472 nucleotides. RefSeq lists it as uncharacterized. NCBI's taxonomy places the organism in Eukaryota, Metazoa, Chordata, Mammalia, Carnivora, Felidae. The transcript is spliced from 4 exons. The record is from RefSeq and is a predicted model, not a curated record.